UAUAACAUGCUUAUAUUUGUGAUGUGGA
RNAcentral lists this non-coding RNA (28 nucleotides) under Bombyx mori (domestic silkworm). Lineage: Eukaryota; Metazoa; Arthropoda; Insecta; Lepidoptera; Bombycidae. The record is from RNAcentral.